UGUGUGUAUGUUUAGUACCUGUGAAAAAUCAAUGCUAAGAUUUUUUUCGAAAAAAAGGCAGCACAGCAAAUCACAUCCGUUUGGCAAAUAAACAACUUUG
Molecule: long non-coding RNA, 100 nt
Organism: Rhagoletis zephyria (snowberry fruit fly)
Lineage: Eukaryota; Metazoa; Arthropoda; Insecta; Diptera; Tephritidae
Source: RefSeq, a predicted model, not a curated record